AGAGUAUUCUUCGUAGGUGACCUGCGGAAGGAUCAUUA
This 38-nucleotide ribosomal RNA is filed under the name uncultured Piloderma. RNAcentral describes it as "partial 18S ribosomal RNA". Lineage: Eukaryota; Fungi; Basidiomycota; Agaricomycetes; Atheliales; Atheliaceae. The record is from RNAcentral.